CAUCUCACAUAGGAUAGGGAGAAGGAAAAAGGGGGACACACGAAAAAAGGGGAGAUAUUUUCCUCUUUUCUUCCUAAUCAUACACUCAUCUUCCUCACCUCAUCUCUUCCAAUAAAUACUACCAAGAUGCCAGCCAAAAGGAGAUCUGAAAAACAAUCCUAAAAUCAUGUAAAACUCCAUUAAAAUAACCUAAAACCACCAAAAAAUAGUUGCAUCGUUGCUGCCGAACAACCACAAGAGGGACCAAAAAUCAGCCAUUAAAACAGCCUCUUUUCACCUAAAACAGUGGCAUUUUCUGGGCGUUCAAGAUUUCCGUCAUUGGCGAGGUUUCCUGUUUGAGUUCAUUGAGGAUUUUCGGAGAAAUUUUUCGGUCCAUAUACUGUUUUCUUUCUUUUGCUUUUGGACAAAUUCUUGCUUAAUGUACGUCAAAUUGGAGUCUUCAUCUAAUACAAGGAUGUGAAAUUCUACUAAUCUCAAGAGAAAUAAAGAGUUGAUUUGUUCAGACAUAAUCUUUGUAGAUAAAGAGAUCCCGGUGUUGGUCCCAGCGGUGUUCAGCGAUGAUUGCUCGGACCCUUCCUUCCAGUAGACUCGAGUUAGUGUUAGGCGUUCACAGACUCUGAAGUCCCCUUCCUAUCUUUGUUGUUGUUUACUUUGUGCCGGACAGUUUUGUAUUUUAUUUCAGACCUUAUAUGUAGUAUUCUAGUUGCUCAUGUACUUAUUGCACCAGUUUGUAGGAAUAGUUUUACAGUGUGUUGGUUGUACACAUAUUAUUCGUUUUUGCUAUUACGCUCUUUUAUUUUA
Long non-coding RNA from Nicotiana tabacum (common tobacco), 801 nucleotides. RefSeq lists it as uncharacterized. NCBI's taxonomy places the organism in Eukaryota, Viridiplantae, Streptophyta, Magnoliopsida, Solanales, Solanaceae. The record is from RefSeq and is a predicted model, not a curated record.